GAUGAACGCUGGCGGCGUGCUUAACACAUGCAAGUCGAACGAUGAAGCCCAGCUUGCUGGGUGGUUUAGUUGCGAACGGGUGAGUAACACGUGAGUAACCUGCCCUUAACUCUGGGAUAAGCCAGGGAAACUGGGUCGAAUACCGGAUAGGUGCUAUCACCGCCUGGUGGGUGUUGGAGAGAUUUAUCGUUUUUGGAUGGACUGGCGGGCUAUCAGCUCGUUGGUGAGGUAUUGGCUCACCAACGCGACGACGGGUAGACGGCCUGAGAGGGUGACCGGCGACAAGGGGACUGAGACAGGGACCAGAAUCCUACGGGACGCAGCAGGGGGGAAUAUUGCGGAACGGGGGCAAGCCUGAUGCAGAGACGCCGCGUGAGGGAAAACGGCCUUCGGGUUGUAAACCUCUUUCAGUAGGGAAGAAGCGAAAGUGACGGUACCUGCAGAAGAAGCACCGGCUAACUACGUG
This 466-nucleotide ribosomal RNA is filed under the name uncultured bacterium. RNAcentral describes it as "partial 16S ribosomal RNA". It matches the Rfam family "Bacterial small subunit ribosomal RNA", at positions 28 to 507 of the family's 1533-position model. The record is from RNAcentral.